This 2955-nucleotide long non-coding RNA is filed under the name Homo sapiens (human). RNAcentral describes it as "HSALNT0319548". The record is from RNAcentral. Lineage: Eukaryota; Metazoa; Chordata; Mammalia; Primates; Hominidae.
AUUUAUAUUCAUAUGUAAGGCCAAUAGGAAGUAAUCUCUGUAUCUGAGUUAUUAUUUCAUAAAUAAUUUAUGCUUGUUCUGUGAAAAUAAAAACACUGCUAUGGAUCUUCCAAGUAUCCUGAAAGGAUACCGUUUAUAAUUAAACAAUAACAAUUUUAGAAAUAAUUAUUUUAAAUAAGGCUAUGAUAAAUCUGGUUUCAUUGCACACUUUAACUUUGGAACAUUUCAUGAAACGUCCCUUGAUCACGACUCUCAUAUUCAGGAGUUUUUUGAGAUCAAAAUGGGACAAUCAGUAUGAAUCUAUUUUUUAGACAUGCAAAUGGAUAACUUUAAAUAGCAGUAGCGAUAUAAUCAGAGUGCACAGUUGCUCUGGGACAAAACUUGGAAAUGAGCAUAUUUUUAGAUUCUUAAUGUUUUACACACUUUAGCAUUCCACAGCACCAUUACAUACUCAUUUUUCUACUAGAAUACCUUGGUAAAAAUUCACAGUAGAGAUCAGGCUUGUCCUUCAUACAUUAACUAAUCAAGUAGGAAAGUGCAAAUGAGAACACAGUGCCAAACAUAGGCACCACAUGGAAACAAGCAUGGAACUGCCAGGAAGCCAUUUUUGUAGAUUUGUAGCCCAAUUAUAUUUUUCCUAAUGUAUUGCACACAAAACUUGGGGGAAAAAAAAGAGGCAGAGAGAAAACAGGUUAUAUCAGCCCUAUCUCACAAUCCACAAGUUCAUCCUGUUAGAGGAGUAACUAUGUAAAACAAAUUUUAUCUGUUGAAUGUCCUAUUUAGUUAAUCGCAAAACUGUAUGAGAACACACUUGUGACUUAUUUAGCAGCUUGUUUGUUCGCUUUCCACUGGCUUCACAAAUGUCCUUUGGAAAUAGAAUGUACAUUUGGAACCUUGUACACCUUUUCUUUCUCCAGUACCCUCUUGUCACUUCCAUCACUAAGGUGACAGAAGCAACUAGGGGCAAUGCAUUUGUAGCACACCUGGGUCAGAGGUAUCCUCCAGGGGAAGGAUCAGACCUGCUUGAAAGCAUGUCGUUGGAAUUGGGAGGCUUCUAGUAGCUAUAACAUAAGCACUGAUGUUUACUCUUCCCUGCCCUCCACUUUGAUCACUCUGGGAAACGUUUUUUUUUCUUAAAAAAUCAAUUGUAUUGAAAGAUAAUUUACAUAAAAUAAAUACUAUUUUAAAGUGCACAGUUUGCUGAGUUUUGCCAGAUGUAACCAUCCAGGUGAAUAAAAUUGAUUAAACUGAUCUUUCAAAUAAUAAAUUAACUUUGCAAUCUUGCUAGAAAUUUAAUUUGUUCACAGUUUAUUAUCCAUUCUAUGUACUGCUACAUUCAAUUGGUUAUUAUGUUUUAAGGACUUUUGAGUCUAUGUUUAUGAGGGAUAAACAUCAAAGUUGUAUAAUGCCUUUGUCUCGAUUUGGAAUCGGCAAUACUGGGUUCAUAAAAUAAGAUAGGAAAUGUCCCUUUAAAUUUUCUUUUUCUUUUUUUUUUUUUUUUUUUUGAGACGGAGAUUCACUCUUGUUGCCCAGGCUGGAGUGCAAUGGCACAAUUUCGGCUCUCCACAAUCUCUGCCUCCCAGAUUCAAGCUAUUCUCCUGCCUCUGUCUCCCGAGGAGCUGGGAUUACAGGCUGGUGUGCAAUGGUGCGAUUUCCGCUCACUGCACUUCCACCUUCCGGGAUUCAAGCCAUUCUCCUGCCUCAGCCUCCGGAGUAGCUGGGACUACAGUCAUGUGCCACCAUGCCCGGCUAAUUUUUGUAUUUUCAGUAGAGGCAGGGAUUCACCACAUUGGUCAGGCUGGUCUUGAACUCCUGACCUCAAGUGAUCUGCCCGCCUCUGCCUCCCAAAGGGCUGGGAAUACAGGCAUGAGCAACUGCACCUGGCCUGGAUUAAUUGAAAAUUUUCUCCUGUAGAUUGUAAUAUAUUAUUAUUGUUAUCUAUUUUAUUGCCCCAAUUUUCUCAAAUUUGGCUAUGGAAGUUUAUUCAAAGUGGAUCUGUUUCCCUUUCACAUUUUCCCCAUUUUGUGAGCAUUUCCUUACUUCCUAACAUGACAAAAUAUUUCAAACUAAUCUUGUAUUUUCCCUGCCCAAUCCUGAUAUCAAAUAUGUCCCCAAGGAGCCUUGGUUCCUUUAAUUGGAGAAUGGUGUUCUCAUUGUUACUGGGAUGAUGUUGUUUCUAGGCCCUUUUGUUAGAGGAGCUAGAAAAUAUAUGUAUGUAUACUCACACAUUUAUACACAUCUGUACUUAUUUAUACAAUUAUCCAUCUGUACGUAUACUAAAAACAAUGAUUUCAUGAAACUUUUGAUCCCAAUCCAACACUAGAUAAAGACUAUAUAGGCCCAUUUAUUUGCAAAUCAGCACAUAAACAUAGAAGAAUUAUUAACAAUAUAAGCUGUAGCUUAUGCUAAAUGUUGGUUGGAACAGACAAUAAGUUAUGGAGAACUUCAGAGGACACUAAGGUUGGAUGGGAUUUUGGAAGUUGUACAGGUCAAUGCCACUCCAUCUAUUGGCGAGUUUCACUAGGUUAAUACAUGAACAACAACAAAAAUAACCUAGAUCAGAAGUUAAAGGUCAUUUUAUUGACUAUCUGCCGUGUCUGUGCCAUUGCAGUGUACUAGGUGCACUUACGAGUCCUCUACUUACAAACUGCUUUUCACAAAAUAUGAAACUCCAGGCAAAGGUUCAGACAUAUGACGUUUGUUUUUAAAAUCUUUCUACAGCCUUGUAUCCUUUUUCCUUUCCUUCCUUUUACCCUUUUUAAAAUGUGUUAUGAGUUUUAUCUUAGACUAACAUCAUCUGUAAUGUUGCUAUACGCCAGUAUUCAGUUGCUGUGUUUGAUGAAUCAUAAAAUGGUGUAAAACUUCAAUUAAUGUACUUUUUAAAUAAAGUAUCUAUGAAUGCAUCCAGCAAAAUGUUUAUGAUUUGAGUAUUCACACAAUAUUACUUUUCUCUGG